AUACGUAGGGUGCAAGCGUUAAUCGGAAUUACUGGGCGUAAAGCGUGCGCAGGCGGUUUUGUAAGACAGUGGUGAAAUCCCCGGGCUCAACCUGGGAACUGCCAUUGUGACUGCAAGGCUGGAGUGCGGCAGAGGGGGAUGGAAUUCCGCGUGUAGCAGUGAAAUGCGUAGAUAUGCGGAGGAACACCGAUGGCGAAGGCAAUCCCCUGGGCCUGCACUGACGCUCAUGCACGAAAGCGUGGGGAGCAAACAGGAUUAGAUACCCUGGUAGUCCACGCCCUAAACGAUGUCAACUGGUUGUUGGGGAUUUAUUGACUCAGUAACGAAGCUAACGCGUGAAGUUGACCGCCUGGGGAGUACGGCCGCAAGGUUGAAACUUAAAGGAAUUGACGGGG
This 395-nucleotide ribosomal RNA is filed under the name uncultured bacterium. RNAcentral's name for it is "partial 16S ribosomal RNA". It matches the Rfam family "Bacterial small subunit ribosomal RNA", at positions 523 to 918 of the family's 1533-position model. The record is from RNAcentral.